Molecule: ribosomal RNA, 468 nt
Filed under: uncultured bacterium
Lineage: Bacteria
Description: partial 16S ribosomal RNA
Rfam family: Bacterial small subunit ribosomal RNA
Source: RNAcentral
GGCGAACGCUGGCGGCGUGCUUAACACAUGCAAGUCGAACGGAAAGGCCCUGCUUUUGUGGGGUGCUCGAGUGGCGAACGGGUGAGUAACACGUGAGUAACCUGCCCUUGACUUUGGGAUAACUUCAGGAAACUGGGGCUAAUACCGGAUAGGAGCUCCUGCUGCAUGGUGGGGGUUGGAAAGUUUCGGCGGUUGGGGAUGGACUCGCGGCUUAUCAGCUUGUUGGUGGGGUAGUGGCUUACCAAGGCUUUGACGGGUAGCCGGCCUGAGAGGGUGACCGGCCACAUUGGGACUGAGAUACGGCCCAGACUCCUACGGGAGGCAGCAGUGGGGAGUAUUGCACAAUGGGCGGAAGCCUGAUGCAGCAACGCCGCGUGCGGGAUGACGGCCUUCGGGUUGUAAACCGCUUUCGCCUGUGGCGAAGCGUGAGUGACGGUAAUGGGUAAAGAAGCACCGGCUAACUACGUG